CCUACGGGAGGCUGCAGUAGGGAAUCUUCCACAAUGGACGAAAGUCUGAUGGAGCAACGCCGCGUGAGUGAAGAAGGGUUUCGGCUCGUAAAGCCCUGUUGGUAGUGAAGAAAGAUGGAGGUAGUAACUGGCCUUUAUUUGACGGUAAUUACUUAGAAAGUCACGGCUAACUACGUGCCAGCUGCCGCGGUAAUACGUAGGUGGCAAGCGUUGUCCGGAUUUAUUGGGCGUAAGGCGAGUGCAGGCGGGUAACAAAGUCUGAUGUGAAAGCCGUCGGCUCAACCGGAGAAUUGCAUCAGAAACUGUCGAACUUGAGUGCAGAAGAGGUGAGUGGAACGCGAUGUGUAGCGGUGGAAUGCGUAGAUAUAUGGAAGAACACCAGUGGCGAAGGCGGCUCUCUGGACUGCAACUGACGCUGAGGCUCGAAAGCAUGGGUAGCGAACAGGAUUAGAUACCCCUGUAGUC
This 465-nucleotide ribosomal RNA is filed under the name uncultured bacterium. RNAcentral's name for it is "partial 16S ribosomal RNA". It matches the Rfam family "Bacterial small subunit ribosomal RNA", at positions 338 to 795 of the family's 1533-position model. The record is from RNAcentral.